AAUGAACGCUGGCGGCAUGCCUAACACAUGCAAGUCGAACGAAGGCUUCGGCCUUAGUGGCGCACGGGUGCGUAACGCGUGGGAAUCUGCCCUUGGGUUCGGAAUAACAGUUAGAAAUGACUGCUAAUACCGGAUGAUGUCGUAAGACCAAAGAUUUAUCGCCCAAGGAUGAGCCCGCGUAGGAUUAGCUAGUUGGUGGGGUAAAGGCCUACCAAGGCGACGAUCCUUAGCUGGUCUGAGAGGAUGAUCAGCCACACUGGGACUGAGACACGGCCCAGACUCCUACGGAGGGCAGCAGUGGGGAAUAUUGGACGCUGGGCGAAAGCCUGAUACAGCAAUGCCGCGUGAGUGAUGAAGGCCUUAGGGUUGUAAAGCUCUUUUACCCGGGAUGAUAAUGACAGUACCGGGAGAAUAAGCUCCGGCUAACUUCGUG
RNAcentral lists this ribosomal RNA (433 nucleotides) under uncultured bacterium. RNAcentral's name for it is "partial 16S ribosomal RNA". It matches the Rfam family "Bacterial small subunit ribosomal RNA", at positions 29 to 507 of the family's 1533-position model. The record is from RNAcentral.